Molecule: ribosomal RNA, 254 nt
Filed under: uncultured bacterium
Lineage: Bacteria
Description: partial 16S ribosomal RNA
Rfam family: Bacterial small subunit ribosomal RNA
Source: RNAcentral
UACGUAGGGUGCGAGCGUUGUCCGGAAUUAUUGGGCGUAAAGAGCUCGUAGGCGGUGUGUCGCGUCGGUCGUGAAAACUUGGGGCUUAACCCUGAGCUUGCGGUCGAUACGGGCAUCACUUGAGUUCGGCAGGGGAGACUGGAACUCCUGGUGUAGCGGUGAAAUGCGCAGAUAUCAGGAAGAACACCAAUGGCGAAGGCAGCUCUCUGGGACGGUACUGACGCUGAGGAGCGAAAGCGUGGGGAUCAAACAGG